UUCAGAUGAUGAUAUUCAAUUUGGCCUGACAUAACGUGGAGGCAAAAAACUGAUUUAAUGAGACUGAUGA
Molecule: small nucleolar RNA, 70 nt
Organism: Cephus cinctus (wheat stem sawfly)
Lineage: Eukaryota; Metazoa; Arthropoda; Insecta; Hymenoptera; Cephidae
Source: RefSeq, a predicted model, not a curated record